ACCCCAUGUCGGGCGAGUGUUUGUGCAGCCCGGGCUGGUCGGGCUUGUACUGUAAUGAGAUGUGUGCUCCUGGUUUAUACGGCGAGGCAUGUCAGCAGAUCUGCAGCUGUCAGAACGGAGCCGACUGCCACAGCGUGAGCGGGGAGUGUGUCUGCGCGCCCGGAUUCAAGGUACAGCUUCAGAAAGACACUCUGUGUGUGUGUGUGUGUGUGUGUGUGCUGGAGUCAGACACUAAUGUGUGGUGUGUCUGCAGGGCUCAGACUGCUCCUCUCCCUACGGCAUCAACUGCAGCUGGGUGUGCUCCUGUAAGAACACAGCUGCUUGCUCACCCAUCGACGGAUCCUGCUCCUGCCAAGCAGGGUGGCACGGGAUGGACUGCUCCAUCAUCUGCCCCAGCGGCUGGUGGGGUCAGGGCUGUAACCUGACGUGUGUGUGUGGGAACGGAGGAGCCUGUAGCGCUCUGGACGGGAGCUGCUCCUGUACCCCGGGCUGGAGAGGAGACCGCUGCCAUCAACACUGUCAGGAUGGGACGUAUGGGCUGGACUGUGGUGAGCGCUGUGACGGGUGUCAGCCCUCGACCGGACACUGCCGCUGUCUGGACGGAUCAGG
Molecule: long non-coding RNA, 609 nt
Organism: Carassius auratus (goldfish)
Lineage: Eukaryota; Metazoa; Chordata; Actinopteri; Cypriniformes; Cyprinidae
Exons: 3
Source: RefSeq, a predicted model, not a curated record